AGAGGGGAGGAUGAGAGAAAGGAGUAACAGAAGUGCAAAAUCUUGACAGUGAAAACAAUUUGAAAUAGAUUUCAAUAUUUAGUUUUUGUUUUCAUUUUUGUUACUCCUCCCUCCCAUCCUCUCCUCUCAUCUUCCCUC
RNAcentral lists this microRNA precursor (138 nucleotides) under Prunus dulcis (almond). Its description in RNAcentral is "sRNA ncRNA". The record is from RNAcentral. Lineage: Eukaryota; Viridiplantae; Streptophyta; Magnoliopsida; Rosales; Rosaceae.